This 460-nucleotide ribosomal RNA is filed under the name uncultured bacterium. Its description in RNAcentral is "partial 16S ribosomal RNA". It matches the Rfam family "Bacterial small subunit ribosomal RNA", at positions 338 to 795 of the family's 1533-position model. The record is from RNAcentral.
CCUACGGGUGGCAGCAGUGAGGAAUAUUGGUCAAUGGUCGUGAGCCUGAACCAGCCAAGUCGCGUGCAGGAUGACGGCUCUAUGGUUUGUAAACUUCUUUUAUACGGGGAUAAAGUGCGUCACGUGUUCUUUUUUGUAUGUACCACAUGAAUAAGCAUCGGCUACUUCCGUGCCAGCAGCCGCGGUAAUACGGAAGGUGCGGGCGUUAUCCGGAUUUAUUGGGUUUAAAGGGUGCGUAGGUCGCUAAUUAAGCGUGCGGUGAAAUUCCGUGGCUCAACCAUAGAACUGCCGUUGGAACUGGUUGGCUUGAGUGUGUGGAAGGUAGGCGGAAUGCGUGGUGUAGCGGUGAAAUGCAUAGAUAUCACGAAGAACUCCGAUUGCGAAGGCAGCAUACGGAACCGUAACUGACGCUGAAGCGCGAAGGCGUGGGGAUCGAACAGGAUUAGAUACCCGAGUAGUC